Molecule: long non-coding RNA, 1398 nt
Organism: Bos taurus (domestic cattle)
Lineage: Eukaryota; Metazoa; Chordata; Mammalia; Artiodactyla; Bovidae
Source: Ensembl
AAAGUACUCUAUCUCUUAUCUAUGGCCCCAGAGAACCAUCCCAAUGCACACAUGCUUAAAAAAUAUUAAAAUCAGGCUGUAUGGAUAACUGGUAACUUGUUUUUUAAUCACUUAUAUUAAUCUAUUCUUAUUCAGUGGUUUUUAAGAAAUAUUUACGUAGCUAAAUAGUAUUCCAUUAUAGUGUCAUCACAUUUUUAAUCUAGUAUUUCUCAGAUUGUAGCUCACAACUCAUUAAUAGGUUAGGUGAGUUGCAAUCAAUACUUUAAAAAUGAAAUUGAGUGUAUUGUAUGUAGUAAGGACAUGUAUUGUCUCAUGAAGCUUUUGUUUCAGAUUAUAUAUAUCUGUAUAUAAACAUGCAAAUGUAUGUUUGGUGUGUGAAUAUAUAUACAAUAGUCAAAAAAUUUUAAAAGCUACCAUGUUUAACAUUCUCCAAAAGCAGGACAUUUUGGUUACUUAUAUUUUUUAUAGUUGUAAGUAAUACUGUAAUGUAUUUUUCUGUGGAUAAUUUUUUUUUUCUUCUGCAUCGGAUUUUAGUUCCCUGACCAGGGAUCAAACGUGGAACCUCAACAGGGAUUGUUCACUCCGGUUGAUACGUACCCGUGUCCUGUAUUACAUGAUACGCACGACACCACUUUUCUCUCUAAACUUUUAGGUCUCAGGCCUGACCUGGGUUGUUCAGUAGCUCUCGGAUGACACUUGCUGCAAACUGUAGGAACUGCAUCUCUUUAAACACUUGGGUUUCUGCGGGGUCUGAGGUGUUAAUGGGUUAGUAAUAACACUAAUCCCAUCAACCUCCCAUGAAAACCAGUUUCACUGUGCCGCCGCACACCACAUUCUUGCUUAAUUGUCGUACAUCUCGGAAUUCUAAGCGAGUUAAUAGACAUUGUCCCGCGACCACACUGUGCUCUGUGCUGCCACCGUGUGGCGAGAGAGGUGUAGGGCGUAAUGCGGUGCCCUGGCCUUGGAAUCAGGCGACCUACAGCUCAGUAACGUUUCUGUGGGUCAUAAGACCUCCCUUACCUAUGCAACUGGUUUGUUAUGUGGCUUAAAUAACGCCUAUGUGACAACUUGUGUAAAUUAUGCAUAAUGCGGGUGUCCUAAGACCUCCUUAGGGACUUACACUCUAGUGGAGUGUAAUAUAAGCAGUAAACGGUAGCGACACAAAAGACCUAUUAUAUGCAUAUGCCAGCGGGAAUACUGCCAGCGGGAAUAACACCACCAGCGAACACUUUGUGGGUAGUGUUACCCUGGGAAAAUUGAGCUCAGCUGGGACCCUCUCCCAGGCUUCCUUCUGAGGGGAAAUCCAUGCCCAUAAACAGGUCCAUUUUAUCCGGGUUUUGAAGAUGAGAAAAUUGAGGCAUAGAAAGGCUCCAUAACUUGCUCAACGUCAUAGGUUCA